RNAcentral lists this ribosomal RNA (740 nucleotides) under uncultured archaeon. RNAcentral describes it as "bacterial SSU rRNA". It matches the Rfam family "Archaeal small subunit ribosomal RNA", at positions 585 to 1337 of the family's 1478-position model. The record is from RNAcentral.
UGNGCGGCUAGAGAUCGGUAGACUNAGGAGUACGCCGGAGGUAANCGGUUAAAUGUGUNAUUUUUCGGUGGACUAACAAUGAGCGAAGGCACCUUACGAGGACGAAUCUGACAGUGAGGGAUGAAGGCCAGGGGCGCAAAACGGAUUAGAUACCCCGUGUAGUCCUGGCAGUAAACACUGCUCACUAAACAUCGGGCCCUCUUCGGGAGGAUUCGGUGCUGAAGCGAAGGCGAAGAGUGAGCUACCUGGGAAGUAUAGUCGCAAGAUCGAAACUUAAAGGAAUUGGCGGGGAGACAUACAACGAGUGACGCGUGCGGUUCAAUCAGAUUUUACACCGUGAACCUCACCAGGAGCGACAGCAGGAUGAAGGUCAGUCUAAAGGGCUUACCUGACACGCUGAGCGGAGCUGCAUGGCCGACGUCAGCCUGUGCUGUGAAGUGACCUGUUAAAUCAGGUAACAGGCGAGACCCGUGUCGAUAAUUACUACAGAAAUGGGUACCUUAUCGAGACUGCCUUGGUAACAAGGAGGAAGGUGCGGGCUACGUUAGGUGGUACAGCCCUAAUCCCCUGGGCUACACGCGCGCGGCAAUGGUAUGUUCAAUGAGAUGCAACUCCGAGAGGAGAAGCUAAUCCCUUAACGCAUAUCUCAGUUCAGAUUGAGGGUUGCAACCCACCCUCAUGACGCUGGAAUUCGUAGUAAUCGGAUAUUAGCACUGUCCGGUGAAUAAGUCCCUGUCUCU